ACUCUUCCACAGAGCUACAUUUUAUCAGCUACUGCCUCCUGGUAUUUCCUUCCUCUGCCUGUUCCACUUCAACAAGCACCUCGAGGCUGCAGAAUUUCUUUCUGGGCUCUACAUCAUUUACAAAAGAGGCUUAUUACUCUCUGCAUCUAGUGUGUUUGGCCCAGUGCCAGAGAGAUCUGCCAAGCCUUCCUUCUCUUCCUCCUCUUCCCCAGCCCAGCCUCUUCCUGGAGUUCCUUCCUGGGACCUGCAGUGCCAAGUGCUGGGGGAGAUGAGGGAGUGAGUGGCCUUUCAAGCCCCUCAGGCCUCCAAGGCAGAAGGUGAAGGUUACUUGCGGGGAUUAGCUGAAAACAGAGGAGCCUGAUUUGGGACAAUGCAUUAAUUCCCUGAAGAGAGUUUAUCACAGGAGCUACCUCCAAAAAGUCCCACCUGCAUAGGGAUCUGCAGCUAGCCCUGAGAGGAAAACAUAUCCCAGCAGCCAUGCGAACUGAAAGAGUCUUUCCUUAAAAGGGAAGUGACUCUUGGCUCAAAACCUUAGGGCUCCCUUUAUGGGUCCCCUCACAUUUCUUCCUAGUGUGGAAUACCCAGCCACACAAGGUGAACGAAGGGUUAUCAUUCAGAACAGACACUAUUGUUUCACUUGCCACAGCACCUCAUUUAUUUAAAAAUAAUGAUCUAAAUACAAAGAGUAGCCAUCCUCUUGAAAACCAGACACACAUCCAUAAUGACCAGCGGGUGCACAGGCCUGGGCUUGAAGGAAGGAAAUCAUCAGAAACAACAGGAUAAUGCUCCUCCCUCAGGGCAUGGGUAGUGGUGAGCAUUUUCAAGGUUUGAUCUCAGUUACUCCCUUACUUGAAGAAGGCUUCGAUGAUUCCUCAUGGAGAAAUCCCAGAUACUUCUGCACAUGAUUCAGAGGUCCCUUACAACUGGCUUCAGCCUGCCUUCCAAGCCCUGUCUCUCGCCUCUCCCUUCCUUCACACUGUGCUUCAGCGAGAUGCUGUGUUUUUUGCAAAUGGACGGUUUGGGCAACUCUUUGUGGAGCAAGUCUAUCGGUGCCAUUUUCCCAACAACAUGGAUUCACUUCAUGUCUCUGAGUCACAUUUUGGCUGGAGUGUGGUGGCGUGAUCUUGGUUCACUGCAACCU
This 1141-nucleotide long non-coding RNA is filed under the name Homo sapiens (human). RNAcentral describes it as "HSALNT0307171". Lineage: Eukaryota; Metazoa; Chordata; Mammalia; Primates; Hominidae. The record is from RNAcentral.